Long non-coding RNA from Myotis davidii, 2119 nucleotides. RefSeq lists it as uncharacterized. The record is from RefSeq and is a predicted model, not a curated record. NCBI's taxonomy places the organism in Eukaryota, Metazoa, Chordata, Mammalia, Chiroptera, Vespertilionidae. The transcript is spliced from 2 exons.
CGGAGUGGCCGCUGUGGGCUUAGCGAAUGUUGAGUGUAGACAGUGACUUUCGGGGUUCCCGUGUCCUGCAAGAGGAUACACACCCUGCGGGGACCCGGAGAGGGAAAAAGCAAGUUGCUUCCCAGCCCAGAACCUGCAAAGCUGCCAGAUGUGCAGAGUCACCUGUGCGGAACCAAAAUCUCACUGGUUAGAAACUCAGACCCCCGUUCCCACUCCUGGGCUGAUAAAUCAAAUAAAUCUCCGCGGCGAGGACCCAGAAUCUGGAUUUAACCAGAUCCUGAACCUCUGGGGACUGCCGAGUAAGAACUUGAACUUGACAGACUUCACACCCCCCACACCUCCAACGGGUGAAAUGGAUGAAAGGGGUCAGAAGGUACAAAUUUCUAAUUGUAAGAUAAAUAAGUUCGGGGGGUAUAAUAUACAGUAUGGUGAGUACAGAUGAUAAUACUGUAUUGCAUAUUUGAAAGUUGCUAAGAGAGUUAGAUCUUAGAAGUUCUCAUCACAAGAAAAAAAUUAUAACUGUUAGGUAAUGGAUUUUGCUAAACUCAAUCAUUGUGGUAUACCUAAAACUAAUACAGUGUCAUAUGUUAAUUAUAUCUCGAUAAAACUGGGUGGGGUGGGGGGAGAACUUGAUAGACUUAAGAGGCCACACAGCUGGGGUACAGUUCCACAGGACACAUGGUGUUCCUGUAGCACAGAGAGUCCCUUUUGCUUCAUGCAGAAUAAAACCCUCUGAUUUCACUGUAGGUGUGCAGUUUUAGCUUUGUGACAAACCAAAGCAGAGGGCCAUGCUGCAUGGAGGAGAAGAUAGGGAUAGAAUAGAAAAGGCAAAUUCUCCCAAGGCCAUAAACAGGCAAGAGAAGGUGAAUGGCAAGUGUUGCAGAGCCGAGGCUGCAUAACUAUUCCUGGCACAGGAAGACACCCUUUUCUGGCCAGAAAUGGUGACAUACUAAUUUCUAGCACUCUAAAAUCCUUCCUCCUCCAUCCUACCUGUCAUGCAGAACACUCCUAUUUUUUUCUGUUUCUCUAGUUACCUUGGUGCCAUAGCUGUCUCUCAGAUGGGUGUAUUUCCAGUACACUCAAUAUUCCUGCUUUUAGCCAGGGUGGCUUCUGCAAAAUAUUACUCCCAUCCAUUGUCUGCAUGUUUUUCACACUGUCACCAUUCAAGGGUGACCUCAUUUCAUGGUCCUAGAUGACACCUUUCUGUAGUUUCCAACAGGCUAUUUAUACAGUUUUGCUGUGAAUAAAACUAAAUGAUUGAUGAAACAUUUUUCCCCAGAGUACGUUUAUUAGGGAUUUCUGCCACCAUAUUAACAUAUAAAACAAUCUGAAUGUUGACAUAGAAAUGCAAAUUUCACUAUACAAAGAUAAGGCUCCAAUUAUAGGUAACAUGGCCCCCAUAUCCCUAGUAUUUCAAUGAAAUCAAUUCAUAUUGAAUUCUUCCCAGAGUUGAUUUUAUAAAUAUUAGACAAGCCACAAAAUAUAUUCCAAAUACAUAACAUUUUACAUGUUCCAAGCACAGACAGAAACACGAUACUUUACCUACACUUUUUCAUGAUCCAACUUGCAAUAGCACUAAAGACAAGAUUGUGUGUGUAUAUGUAUUUGCCAUAUAUGUGUGUGUAUAUAUAAUUAUGUACACACAGUGAUUUUCAUGAGAAAUUGAAACCUUUGAGACUGUUUUAUCCACCAUGAUAACUGAUAGGGGAAAAGGAAUAAUAACAUCACAAAUUCCUCAAUUGGGAAAAAGUAAACACAACUGUGUAUGAGGGGCAUUUCAGUGGGGUGACAUAUAUUCAUACAUAAACACAUAUGCCAAUAAUAUGGACUAUACAUAUACUCACACACUUGCUUUGACCACUGUAUCUCACUAUAUUAUUAUAUACUUUCCAUCGUGGAAGCAGUCUUUUUCUCAUUUCAUUCAGGCAGCUGGUGACAAGUCUUCUACCAAACUUAAGUGGUAUUCCUAAAAUGGCUCUUAUUCUAUCCCACUUUUACUUUUGGUGACUAUUGUUUAAAUUCAGCUGACCCUAUCCUGUCAGCUCCUUCACUUAAAAUAUUUCUAUUCAAUAAUCAAGUUUUCGCCUAAGAGAAAAAAGAGAUGUUAGCCGGAAGUGUA